GCUAGGAGUGAAGGAGUGGGAGAAGGAAGGACUGAGUCCAGAAGGGGGAGGGGCAGCGACAAGUCUGGGACAGGCAACAUCCCCAUGGUGACUAGAAGGCCUGAGGCAGGGAGAGAUUGACAGUGAAGGGUGAAAGGAGCUACGCCCCAGCCAAGCCACAGCCCGCCUGCCCCUGCGCUUGGCACUGAUAUUGACUGCCCUUUUGAGAGGAAGAAGGAUGUUAUGGACCAGAGAGGGGACAGAAAUGUGAAGCAAGGCAGCUGAAGCCAAGACAUCUACCAUGGCGACGUGGCUACACGCCUAGCUCUUCCAGCCAGCUCACACUGCUCUGUGGUAGAGAGAGACACCCUCCAUACUGGGAGAGCAAGGCUUCAUGCUCAGUGUUCCUGAACUCUCACUCCCAGGGGAACCCAGGGUACCCACCUUCUCCUGUAGCUCCUGCUUCUCCUUGUUGGACUCUUCGAGCUGAGCUUGGAGAUCAUUCAUCUGUGCCAUGUCCCGGGAGGCCUGGGAAAGGAGGGAAGAGGGGAGAGCGGGUCCCCCAGAAACAGAAAUUCAGCCUCUCCCCAUCAAGAGCCAGGACACCUAGACUGUGUCUCUCCAAGGAAGUGUCUAGUCAGGUGUGGAGGCAGAGGCGAAAGCAGAUGGAUCUCUAUGAGUUCAAGGCUUGCCCUGUCUACAGAUUCUUUCAAGGCUAAUGAGAAGGAAGAAAUUCUGCCCACAACAAAUGACCCAUCGUCCAGGUACACCAGCUAGACCAGCAUGCACUCUGCCCAUAUCAGCCCACCGGGAAGGACUCUCGAGUUGGUGACAGCCCUGACUUGGAUUUUGUUCUCCCUGGGGACGGUCCACUCUUGGGUCAUCUAGCUCUCCCAGCCUAGGGGUGGGGGAGGGGAAGAGACAGGCACCAGCAGCUUCAGGAAACGAAUGAAUCUAUUAGCCUGUAAUUCCAAACCAAAAUGACUGCGUUGGCUCCUUCUCUGCCCCAUCCAUCUUGUUACUGGGCUGUGGGGAGCUGGGGAAGCCUCCGCCAAGAAAUUUAUUAACUCAGAUUUAAAUAAAAUGGUAAUUUUAUAACAGCCUUUUUUAACAAAAUUAAGGCAUUUGAAUUACUCACCUGGAAACUGCUGAGGGGCACAAAUGUCACAAGAUAAAUCAAGCCUGUGAGAUUGGCAUCUCUCAGCGGCAGCAAGGGUAGCUAGGGGCCAUGAAGCCAACAGCUAAACAGCUCCUCCCCUGCCCCGUCCCUGGCCUGAUGAGGGAGGUUCGGGUGGCCACAUCCCAGGAGUGAACACUCAGCCCGAUGGAUGGAUGGGGCCGUGGGAGAGGUGGGGAAUUAAAAGGGAGGCAUUAAAUAAAAGCUCUAAUUAGCUG
This is a non-coding RNA of Rattus norvegicus (Norway rat), 1374 nucleotides long. Lineage: Eukaryota; Metazoa; Chordata; Mammalia; Rodentia; Muridae. The record is from RefSeq and is a predicted model, not a curated record.